AGAUACCUGUUAUUUGAAAGUAAUGUUAAAGCUUUUUAUUGUAUUGCUUGCCAAGAAAUAAUGAGUAUGGUGUUUUGUGUAUUACAGGUUACUUACCCGAACAAUAACACGUGGUGAGAAGUCAAGCCCCAAGGAAUUGUUAAGAAGAAAUAUACCCAAAGGAUAACGUCUAUCAUGCUGCGGUUUGGCCAGCACCUCAUCAAGCCAUCUGUGGUCUUCCUGAAAACUGAGCUCUCUUAUGCUCUCGUGAACCGCAAGCCGGUGGUCCCAGGCCGUAUCCUUUUAACCAGUGCCUUGACCAUGGGUACCUGCACUCCUGGGAGAAGCAGGGAAGCUUGGUAUGCUCUUCAGGCCAGGUUUGUCCACAUCUUGAACAUUAGUCUUCAACACAGCCAUCAGAAUGUAAUAUGCAGCACACACAGGGUUAACAGCCUGGAGCUUCAGCUUCAGGGUCGAGAUCCUUCUCUGAGCCAAGAUAAUUGGAAUUUUUUGACACCUGGUACACACAGAAGAACACUCAAAGACAAAUUGCCAUGACAACCCCAGAGUCACCUCUCAGCUGACUUUAUGCUGCUUUUCUGUCCAGCUCUCUCACAGUAGCAUCACCACAGAAUAAACUGAGAAGUAAAAGAGUUUUCCUCA
This 642-nucleotide long non-coding RNA is filed under the name Coturnix japonica (Japanese quail). Its description in RNAcentral is "lncRNA (ENSCJPG00005016821.1)". The record is from RNAcentral. Lineage: Eukaryota; Metazoa; Chordata; Aves; Galliformes; Phasianidae.